Molecule: ribosomal RNA, 494 nt
Filed under: uncultured bacterium
Lineage: Bacteria
Description: partial 16S ribosomal RNA
Rfam family: Bacterial small subunit ribosomal RNA
Source: RNAcentral
GACGAACGCUGGCGGCGCGCUUAACACAUGCAAGUCGAACGGAAAGGCCUGCUUUCCCUUGUGGAUUGCGGGUACUCGAGUGGCGAACGGGUGAGUAACACGUGAGUGAUCUGCCCCCAACUUGGGUAUAAGCCUGGGAAACUGGGUCUAAUUCCCGAUAGGACUGCAGGGUGGUGCCUGUGGUGGAAAACGAUUUUCUAGUGGUUGGGGAUGAGCUCGCGGCCUAUCCGCUUGUUGGUGGGGUAAUGGCCUACCAAGGCGGCGACGGGUAGCCGGCCUGGGGAGGGUGGACGGCACAUUGGGGCUGGGGUACGGGCCCAGACCCCAAGGGAGGCAGGAGGUGGGAAUAAUGGACAAAGGGGGGGAGGCUGAAGGCGGGAAGCCGGGGUGGGGAUGACGGCCUUCGGGUUGUAAACUCCUUUCGACCGCGAGGAAGCCACCUGGUUGGAAGGGUGGUGACGGUAGUGGUAGAAGAAGCACCGGCUAACUACGUG